Molecule: ribosomal RNA, 486 nt
Filed under: uncultured bacterium
Lineage: Bacteria
Description: partial 16S ribosomal RNA
Rfam family: Bacterial small subunit ribosomal RNA
Source: RNAcentral
AUUGAACGCUGGCGGCAUGCCUUACACAUGCAAGUCGAACGGCAGCACGGGUGCUUGCCCCUGGUGGCGAGUGGCGAGCGGGUGAGUAAUACAUCGGAACAUGUCCUGUAGUGGGGGAUAGCCCGGCGAAAGCCGGAUUAAUACCGCAUACGAUCCACGGAUGAAAGCGGGGGACCUUCGGGCCUCGCGCUAUAGGGUUGGCCGAUGGCUGAUUAGCUAGUUGGUGGGGUAAAGGCCUACCAAGGCGACGAUCAGUAGCUGGUCUGAGAGGACGACCAGCCACACUGGGACUGAGACACGGCCCAGACUCCUACGGGAGGCAGCAGUGGGGAAUUUUGGACAAUGGGCGAAAGCCUGAUCCAGCAAUGCCGCGUGUGUGAAGAAGGCCUUCGGGUUGUAAAGCACUUUUGUCCGGAAAGAAAUCCUUGGCUCUAAUACAGUCGGGGGAUGACGGUACCGGAAGAAUAAGCACCGGCUAACUACGUG